Transfer RNA from Nadsonia fulvescens var. elongata DSM 6958, 73 nucleotides. It matches the Rfam family "tRNA". Rfam says of the family: Transfer RNA (tRNA) molecules are approximately 80 nucleotides in length. Their secondary structure includes four short double-helical elements and three loops (D, anti-codon, and T loops). Further hydrogen bonds mediate the characteristic L-shaped molecular structure. tRNAs have two regions of fundamental functional importance: the anti-codon, which is responsible for specific mRNA codon recognition, and the 3' end, to which the tRNAs corresponding amino acid is attached (by aminoacyl-tRNA synthetases). tRNAs cope with the degeneracy of the genetic code in two manners: having more than one tRNA (with a specific anti-codon) for a particular amino acid; and 'wobble' base-pairing, i.e. permitting non-standard base-pairing at the 3rd anti-codon position. The record is from Rfam. Lineage: Eukaryota; Fungi; Ascomycota; Dipodascomycetes; Dipodascales.
GCCCGUGUAGCCCAAUGGUUAAGGCGUUAGACUUCUAAUCUGAAGAUUGUGGGUUCGACUCCCAUCAUGGGUG